AAAGGAAUUUUUGGGAUCCAGACCACUUACAAAAAAAAGAAAGCAAACUGACCUGGAAGAUGAUGCCAAUGAGGAAUGUUCAAACACUUCUGAGGGACUCCUUGAGAAGUACAGCAAGGUAGUUGAUGAGCUUCAAAUGAUGAAGGACAAAUGUUCCAAACUGGAAACGGAAAACUCAGAAUUGAGGCGUCAACUGACAGAGCAUUGCUCGAAGUCCAAGGAAAAUUCAUCAAAGGAGAAAGA
This is a long non-coding RNA of Dreissena polymorpha, 243 nucleotides long. RefSeq lists it as uncharacterized. The transcript has 3 exons. The record is from RefSeq and is a predicted model, not a curated record. Lineage: Eukaryota; Metazoa; Mollusca; Bivalvia; Myida; Dreissenidae.